RNAcentral lists this ribosomal RNA (468 nucleotides) under uncultured bacterium. RNAcentral's name for it is "partial 16S ribosomal RNA". It matches the Rfam family "Bacterial small subunit ribosomal RNA", at positions 28 to 507 of the family's 1533-position model. The record is from RNAcentral.
GACGAACGCUGGCGGCGUGCUUAACACAUGCAAGUCGAACGGAAAGGCCCUGCUUUUGUGGGGUGCUCGAGUGGCGAACGGGUGAGUAACACGUGAGUAACCUGCCCUUGACUUUGGGAUAACUUCAGGAAACUGGGGCUAAUACCGGAUAGGAGCUCCUGCUGCAUGGUGGGGGUUGGAAAGUUUCGGCAGUUGGGGAUGGACUCGCGGCUUAUCAGCUUGUUGGUGGGGUAGUGGCUUACCAAGGCUUUGACGGGUAGCCGGCCUGAGAGGGUGACCGGCCACAUUGGGACUGAGAUACGGCCCAGACUCCUACGGGAGGCAGCAGUGGGGAAUAUUGCACAAUGGGCGGAAGCCUGAUGCAGCAACGCCGCGUGCGGGAUGACGGCCUCCGGGUUGUAAACCGCUUUCGCCUGUGACGAAGCGUGAGUGACGGUAAUGGGUAAAGAAGCACCGGCUAACUACGUG